Molecule: ribosomal RNA, 485 nt
Filed under: uncultured bacterium
Lineage: Bacteria
Description: bacterial SSU rRNA
Rfam family: Bacterial small subunit ribosomal RNA
Source: RNAcentral
GAUGAACGCUAGCGGCAGGCUUAACACAUGCAAGUCGAGGGGUAUUGGUUUUCGGACCAAGAGACCGGCGCACGGGUGCGUAACGCGUAUGCAAUCUACCUUUUGCAGAGGGAUAGCCCAGAGAAAUUUGGAUUAAUACCUCAUAGUAUAGUACCUUGGCAUCAAGGAACUAUUAAAGUCACAACGGUAAAAGAUGAGCAUGCGUCCCAUUAGCUAGAUGGUAAGGUAACGGCUUACCAUGGCGACGAUGGGUAGGGGUCCUGAGAGGGAGAUCCCCCACACUGGUACUGAGACACGGACCAGACUCCUACGGGAGGCAGCAGUGAGGAAUAUUGGACAAUGGGCGCAAGCCUGAUCCAGCCAUGCCGCGUGCAGGAUGACGGUCCUAUGGAUCGUAAACUGCUUUUGUACNGGAAGAAACACUCCCUCGUGAGGGAGCUUGACGGUACUGUAAGAAUAAGGAUCGGGCUAACUCCGUGCCAGCA